ACAUUUCGAGUGUGCCUGUCCCAAAUUAGGAACAUGUAAUUCAGUGGUGGUCCUUUGUUGCUGUGUUAGAUAUUUGUUUUUCGAUCGUUUUUUUUUGUACAGAAGUUUGGUCGUUAGUUUUCUCUUUUGAAAUGUUUUCAAUUUGACAUUUCGAGGACUUUUAUAACGUACCAUGCAGUGUAGGCUUUGCCCAUUGUUGAAUGUCAUACGGUAUCGUAUAGUUGUUAAUUUCUGUGUCAUUUUGUCUCUUGUGAUGAGUUGUGUCAUUGGCAAUCAUACCACCUCUUCUUUUUCAUAUAAUUAUAUGUUUGUCGCGGGCUCACUUGUUGCUAAGGGUUUCAUUGUUGCAUUUUUGUCAGGUGAGCGAUUCAGGUACUCAAAUCGUCUAUUUUGAUGAGCUUAUAGCUUUUUAUAUUUAGAUUUCAUCCUUUAAAUUUAUCAUAUUUUUUUUUUAUCUUACUGUUAAAUUUAUGGUUUCUUGAAGUUUCAAAAAUGCUCUUAAUUUGGAAUUAUUUU
Molecule: long non-coding RNA, 516 nt
Filed under: Mytilus galloprovincialis (Mediterranean mussel)
Lineage: Eukaryota; Metazoa; Mollusca; Bivalvia; Mytilida; Mytilidae
Source: RNAcentral